CAAACAUUUCUGAGCGGUACUGCGCGCGCUUCUUCACACACACGUUCUCCAAAUAUGGUCGGCCCCGCCCACUUCCUCGUCCUCAUUAGGAACGAUAUCAGCAGCAAUAUGAAAAUAUGCGUAUUAAGUGGAAACUUCACACGGACAGACGAUCAGAAGACUGUUUACAGGAGAUACCGACUCGAGGAGAUUGUUUGCAGGAGAUUCUAAAGUUGUGCAGAGGAAAACGUGAAAUACAAGAUUGAAAUGCCACCACGAAUCAGCCCUCUUAAGGAUGCCAUGCAUCAUGUUGUCAUGAAGUCUGACAAAACUAAAUUAGAGGUGAAGUACAUCAAUGCGGUGAAAGGACGUGGAUUAUUUACAAAUGGUUCCUUUAGCAAAGGAGAUUUUAUUGUGGAGUACAGGGGUGAGUUGAUCAAUUAUGCAGAGCUGGAGAGAAGAAGAAAACUCUACCACCCAUCCUGUGCUGUUUUUAUGUUCGAGUUUAAGUGGAGAGGGAAAACAUGGUGGUAAGAAGUCACAUUGCAUCAGAGCUAUAUUCCUUGUGUUAUACUAUAGUAAAUAAGGCCGCGUUUACACUGCACGACUUCAUGACCAAUUCUGAUUUUGU
This is a long non-coding RNA of Cyprinus carpio carpio, 610 nucleotides long. Lineage: Eukaryota; Metazoa; Chordata; Actinopteri; Cypriniformes; Cyprinidae. The record is from Ensembl.